CAGUCGCCGCGGUAAUACGGAGGGUGCAAGCGUUAAUCGGAAUUACUGGGCGUAAAGCGCACGCAGGCGGUCUGUCAAGUCAGAUGUGAAAUCCCCGGGCUUAACCUGGGAACUGCAUUUGAAACUGGCAGGCUAGAGUCUUGUAGAGGGGGGUAGAAUUCCAGGUGUAGCGGUGAAAUGCGUAGAGAUCUGGAGGAAUACCGGUGGCGAAGGCGCCCCCCUGGACAAAGACUGACGCUCAGGUGCGAAAGCGUGGGGAGCAAACAGGAUUAGAUACCCCGGUAGUCCCUUCUCUUAUACA
This 301-nucleotide ribosomal RNA is filed under the name uncultured bacterium. RNAcentral describes it as "partial 16S ribosomal RNA". It matches the Rfam family "Bacterial small subunit ribosomal RNA", at positions 509 to 809 of the family's 1533-position model. The record is from RNAcentral.